RNAcentral lists this long non-coding RNA (225 nucleotides) under Vigna radiata. Its description in RNAcentral is "long non-coding RNA (VRAD_LNC015527)". The record is from RNAcentral. Lineage: Eukaryota; Viridiplantae; Streptophyta; Magnoliopsida; Fabales; Fabaceae.
GGUUUACAAUUUCAUCUUAUCCACUCUCAUAUAUCUACUCUUCUUAUUUAAUUCACUUGUUUAUCUAAUUGCAAUGCAAACUUUCUUAAUUACCCUUAGCCCAAUUCCUUGGUGAAAAGAGCCUAUUACUAAUUACCGGCUUGCUAUCCCUAGCCUCUCCUAGUAACUAAUAAUGCAAUGCAUUCUGAAGCAAAUGCAAUUGACCGUCCUAUCCCUAUCCCUAGG